AGUGAACGCUGGCGGUAGGCCUAACACAUGCAAGUCGAACGGCAGCACAGUAAGAGCUUGCUCUUACGGGUGGCGAGUGGCGGACGGGUGAGGAAUACAUCGGAAUCUACUUUUUCGUGGGGGAUAACGUAGGGAAACUUACGCUAAUACCGCAUACGACCUACGGGUGAAAGCAGGGGAUCUUCGGACCUUGCGCGAUUGAAUGAGCCGAUGUCGGAUUAGCUAGUUGGCGGGGUAAAGGCCCACCAAGGCGACGAUCCGUAGCUGGUCUGAGAGGAUGAUCAGCCAAACUGGAACUGAGACACGGUCCAGACUCCUACGGGAGGCAGCAGUGGGGAAUAUUGGACAAUGGGCGCAGGCCUGAUCCAGCCAUACCGCGUGGGUGAAGAAGGCCUUCGGGUUGUAAAGCCCUUUUGUUGGGAAAGAAAAGCAGCAGGUUAAUACCCCGCUGUUCUGGCGGUACCCAAAGAAUAAGCACCGGCUAACUUCGUG
Molecule: ribosomal RNA, 492 nt
Filed under: uncultured bacterium
Lineage: Bacteria
Description: partial 16S ribosomal RNA
Rfam family: Bacterial small subunit ribosomal RNA
Source: RNAcentral